Macadamia integrifolia is the source of this 2284-nucleotide RNA transcript. RefSeq lists it as uncharacterized. The transcript is spliced from 4 exons. Lineage: Eukaryota; Viridiplantae; Streptophyta; Magnoliopsida; Proteales; Proteaceae. The record is from RefSeq and is a predicted model, not a curated record.
CAGACGAUUUCAACCCUUGAUAGCUACUUGUUGUACCUUAGAGGAGUUGCCCUUCAGAAAACAGAAAAUGCAAAUGGGUGUCCAAGUCCUUGUCACUGAUCCCUGGGAACUUGAAAAGUUUACGAAAGGUAAUUUGAUGGAUCUUUUGAAAUAGUGUCAGUGCAAAAUAUAAGAUGAAUUAUGAGUGGCUAUUAACUCAAUUAAAAUCUCUGAGGGGUUCUGAAAGGAACUUUCGCUUCUGGGAGUAUAACUGAAAUUGGUAUGAUUACAGGAGCUUAUAAAUAGAUUAAAUGUUCACCUUUUGCUUCUUAUUGAUUCAGUUCUUAUGUCCAUGAUCUGUUUCCGAAAGUGGACCUGACGAAAACUGGUGACAAAUAUGGUUCAUGACUUCAGCUGCAACUCAGUAUUGGGAAUUUGAUAUGUUGGGUAUCAGUUAUGGAUGGAUUGCAUUGUUUUUGGAUUUACAUUUAAUUCAGCUUCAACUGUUUCUUUGUCUUCCCUUAUAAUUUGAAUACCAUUGCAUCUUAUGGAACAACAACAUGAGCUUGUUCAUGGUGUUAUUGUAUAAUACCAUCCUAUCCACUGGAUUGUUUGACAUGUUUUGCUGUGAUGCUAUAUAUUUUGACAUUGUUUGGGUAUAUCUUGGUGGUUUUUUGUGUAGAGGGUCAUUAUUUGGGUGUUCUACAUACUGAAGUUUAUCUUGUGUUAUUUCUAGUACUUCUCUCCCACUUUAUAAAGGCUGAUACAUGUCCUUUGUAAGAAGAGGGCAUACCCAGUGCACAAGGCUCCCGCCAUCGCAGUGUCUGGGGAGGGUCGUAAUGUGGAAAAAUGAAAUUCACUUUACAUUUGUCAUGGGAAAUGUCAAACAACUCAAGUGCGGGUUUCAACAUUUUCUGAAGGGGAAGGAGAGGAAACAUUUGAUUCGUAGCUUCUUGGUCUUGCAGAUGAAAACAUGGAGGAGCGUGUUGCUGAUGAUGAUGUGAUCCUGAUAAAAGGGACCAAACCACAACUGCAGUAUGGGGCUCAUUGUAUUUAAUUGCGUUUAGUCUUCUGAACCAGGGUAACCAGGAUCCUUUCUUUGCAUGGAAUUCAAAUUGGACAGGCUGGAGCUCAGCUCUAGUCUGCAAACAAUGGAAGUUUUGAGGCCCAUGCUCAGCCAUUUGGGGUAUAUCCAAUUGCUUUAUGCUUCAGUCACGAAAAUAUCUUUAAACUGAAGUCAUAUUCACUGCCUGCUUGAUCUGCAGAGUUGCAAAUGAAUACAUGCUUGAUGAUAUGCUUUAGUUUUUUUAAGAGAACACUUAAAGAGUCCAAAGUGUAUGGGGUUAGACCUUUCCAGGGAAACCAUCCACAAGAACUUAGAAGCAGGGGUUAUCGAGCCGGCAAUGAGCAAAGGAAGAUUUUACUGGUAGAGAGAAAAAGACUUUGGUAGGAUUUCAAUUUGGGUGAGAUUAUAGUUAUUGAUUCUCUUCAUGAUAUGUAUUCAUUUUGUGAAUUCUGUAUUCUAGUUCGCUACCAAAACUUCUGUUACAAAUUUGGGUAUAGGAAACAUGAUCCAGGUUGUCAAAGAUGGACGUGGAAAUGGAGAGUAGAACUCCCAAGUUUCAAUCCCCAAGACAACAUAAGUUACAGUUUUGCUGAGUUCGUGCAUGAUUUGUUGCUGUGAAACUGAUGAGUAUCACAAUUUUAGUAUAUCCCCGCAUCAUUUGUGCAAAAGAGAACAGUGCUGAACAUACUUCAAAGCUCUUCUAGGCUCUCCAGUACAAACAAAGAGAAUAGUGAAGCUCUUUCCUAAUGAGAGAAUACAUCUUCAAUGGUCCUUAAGAAGAGAGAACCCACCCACUUUACACUUGGAGGAUUACUUGAACAUACCCUUCUUAUUUUCCAACUAAAAGGCGGUCUCUUCAAAAGUGCAGCAAAAUCAAUAAGCUGAAAGAUCUCGCAUUCAAAUCCAAUUGCGGACUUCCCAGCCAAAAGUGCAGCAAAAUCAAGAUCCUCGAAUGAGAUGGUUUCCCUUCCUAGUCAUAUUAGGGAAGACUUGGCCAUUGAUGCAAUGACUAGACCGAGAUUCAGAUUCCAAUGAUUUGUGUGGGCUUCCUUGCUAAUGGCAAUGCUGAAGGUGGGGAUUGGUCCUAUCAGUCUUGGGGUUGAUUAUUUCAGUUUAGGUGGUUCUCUGAUGUAUUUGAUGUUUUCUUCUUUUUAAUAUAAUUUGAUCCUUUCUAGCAAAAAAAAAAAGGGUCUCUGCCCUGCAUGGUCUAUCUUUCUUGGAAGAAGUUCGAAAACAAAA